AUCAAAGUGCCACUUUGGAACAACGGAGUAUAUAAUCAUCAUGGGUUUGGAGCUACAGGUACAGGAGUUUGGUAUGGGCCAAGUGUAAGCCAAUCAUAUAAUGCUUAUAAAACUCCAGUGCCUGAGACCAACCUACCAGGAAGCAUACCCACCAUGCCAUACAUCUCCUUGGCACCACCAGGUAAAUGAAUUUUUUAAUAAUCCCCAUCUUGUCCUUUUUUUACCCUUAAGAAUGAAGCACCACUAGCACUGAUUCUAAGUUAUUGAUGGGAACAAAGGGUAUGUUACUUAGAGCCUGUAGCUGGCUGCUACAGCCUUACACGUUGAAACGGUCUCCAUCAAACCAGUCUGUGUGUAAUUGUGUUUAUGUGUUUACCUGUGACUCAUCAUGGACGUCUCCAAGUGGAUUAUAGAUCCUUAUACCUGAUAGGAAUCUUUCUUUAGCCUGCAUGAGAUACUAAUCUCAAGAGACCCAGCUACUCCAAUAAAUGGGAAAUAUUUUCUUAAAUUCUUUUAUUUUGCUUCUUGUCUUCUGA
This 536-nucleotide long non-coding RNA is filed under the name Rattus norvegicus (Norway rat). RNAcentral describes it as "long non-coding RNA NONRATT012924". The record is from RNAcentral. Lineage: Eukaryota; Metazoa; Chordata; Mammalia; Rodentia; Muridae.